Small nuclear RNA from Gorilla gorilla gorilla (western lowland gorilla), 103 nucleotides. The record is from Ensembl. Lineage: Eukaryota; Metazoa; Chordata; Mammalia; Primates; Hominidae.
GUGCUCUCUUCAGCAGCACAUAUACUAAAAUUAGAAUGAGACAGAGACAGCAUGGCCCCUGGGCAAGGAUGACACACAAAACAAAAAUUAAUUAAAAACAUAA